GACGAACGCUGGCGGCGUGCCUAAUACAUGCAAGUAGAACGCUGAAGGAGGAGCUUGCUUCUCUGGAUGAGUUGCGAACGGGUGAGUAACGCGUAGGUAACCUGCCUGGUAGCGGGGGAUAACUAUUGGAAACGAUAGCUAAUACCGCAUAAGAGUAGAUGUUGCAUGACAUUUGCUUAAAAGGUGCAAUUGCAUCACUACCAGAUGGACCUGCGGUGUAUUGGCUAGUUGGUGGGGUAUCGGCUCACUAAGGCGACGAUACAUAGCACACCUGCGAGGGGGGUCAGCCGCACUGGGAGGGAGACAGGGCCCAGACGCCUACGGGAGGCGGCAGGAGGGAAACGUGGGCAAUGGGCGGAAGACAGACCGAGCAAGGCGGCGGGAGGGAAGAGGAUUGUCGGGUCGGGGAGCACUGUUGUAAGGGAAGAACGAGUGUGAGAGUGGAAAGUUCACACUGUGACGGUAUCUGACAAAGAAGGAACGGCUAACUACGUG
Molecule: ribosomal RNA, 495 nt
Filed under: uncultured bacterium
Lineage: Bacteria
Description: partial 16S ribosomal RNA
Rfam family: Bacterial small subunit ribosomal RNA
Source: RNAcentral